AGAGUUUGAUCGUGGCUCAGAUUGAACGCUGGCGGCAGGCCUAACACAUGCAAGUCGAGCGGAUGAGAGGAGCUUGCUCCUUGAUUUAGCGGCGGACGGGUGAGUAAUGCCUAGGAAUCUGCCUGGUGGUGGGGGAUAACGUUCCGAAAGGAACGCUAAUACCGCAUACGUCCUACGGGAGAAAGCGGGGGAUCUUCGGACCUCGCGCCAUUAGAUGAGCCUAGGUCGGAUUAGCUAGUUGGUGAGGUAAAGGCUCACCAAGGCGACGAUCCGUAACUGGUCUGAGAGGAUGAUCAGUCACACUGGAACUGAGACACGGUCCAGACUCCUACGGGAGGCAGCAGUGGGGAAUAUUGGACAAUGGGCGAAAGCCUGAUCCAGCCAUGCCGCGUGUGUGAAGAAGGUCUUCGGAUUGUAAAGCACUUUAAGUUGGGAGGAAGGGUAUUCACCUAAUACGUGAGUAUUUUGACGUUACCGACAGAAUAAGCACCGGCUAACUUCGUGCCAGCAGCCGCGGUAAUACGAAGGGUGCAAGCGUUAAUCGGAAUUACUGGGCGUAAAGCGCGCGUAGGUGGUUCGUUAAGUUGGAUGUGAAAGCCCCGGGCUCAACCUGGGAACUGCAUCCAAAACUGGCGAGCUAGAGUACGGUAGAGGGUGGUGGAAUUUCCUGUGUAGCGGUGAAAUGCGUAGAUAUAGGAAGGAACACCAGUGGCGAAGGCGACCACCUGGACUGAUACUGACACUGAGGUGCGAAAGCGUGGGGAGCAAACAGGAUUAGAUACCCUGGCAGUCCACGCCGUAAACGAUGUCAACUAGCCGUUGGAAUCCUUGAGAUUUUAGUGGCGCAGCUAAC
RNAcentral lists this ribosomal RNA (853 nucleotides) under uncultured bacterium. RNAcentral describes it as "bacterial SSU rRNA". It matches the Rfam family "Bacterial small subunit ribosomal RNA", at positions 8 to 856 of the family's 1533-position model. The record is from RNAcentral.